UACAUUUUUUUUAGUUAUACAUGGGCACAAUAUCUUUAUUUUGUUUAUUUAUUUUUAUGUGGUGCUGAGGAUCGAACCCAGGGUCUCACACAUAAGAGGCAAGUGCUCUACUGCUGAACCACAACCCCAGUCCCUGUUUAUUGAUUCUUGAUUUUACUUCUUGCGCUAUAGAAGUCUUGUUGAGGAAGUCACUUCCUAAGCCCACGUGGUGGAGAUUUGGGCCUACUUUUUCUUCCAUUAGGCGUAAGGUCUCUGUUCUAGUGACUAAGUCCUUGAUUCAUUUUGAGUUGAGUUUUGUGCAAGGUGAGAGAGAGAGAGGGAUUUAAUUUCAUUUUGCUACAUAAGAAUUUUCAGUUUUCCCAGCACCAUUUGUUGAAGAGUAUCUUUUCUCCAGUGUAUGUUUUUGGUGCCUUUGUCUAGAAUGAUAUAACUGUAUUUAUGUGGGUUUGUCUCUGUGUCUUCUAUUCUGUACCAUUAGUCUAAAUGUCUCUUUUGGUGCCAGUAGCAUGCCCUUUUUGUUAUUAUAGCUCUGUAGUAUAGUUUAAGGUCUGGUAUUGUGAUGCCUGCUGCUUCACUUGUCUUGCUAAGGAUUGCUUGGCUAAUCUGGGUCUCUUAUUUUUCCAAAUGAAUUUCAUGAUUGCUUUUCUAUUUCUAUGAAAAAUGUUAUUGGGAUUUUAAUAGGAAUUGCUUUAAAUCUAACAGUUUUGGUUGUAU
Molecule: long non-coding RNA, 714 nt
Filed under: Marmota monax (woodchuck)
Lineage: Eukaryota; Metazoa; Chordata; Mammalia; Rodentia; Sciuridae
Source: RNAcentral